CGAUAAAAAUCUGAUUACAAGAUGUAGUCAGAUUUUUUUUUUAGAAAAAUAU
Molecule: small RNA, 52 nt
Filed under: Streptococcus pseudopneumoniae IS7493
Lineage: Bacteria; Bacillati; Bacillota; Bacilli; Lactobacillales; Streptococcaceae
Description: Streptococcus sRNA SpF36
Rfam family: Streptococcus sRNA SpF36
Source: Rfam by way of RNAcentral